RNAcentral lists this ribosomal RNA (447 nucleotides) under uncultured bacterium. RNAcentral's name for it is "bacterial SSU rRNA". It matches the Rfam family "Bacterial small subunit ribosomal RNA", at positions 355 to 825 of the family's 1533-position model. The record is from RNAcentral.
UCGGGAAUUUUGCGCAAUGGACGAAAGUCUGACGCAGCAACGCCGCGUGAGGGAUGACGGCCUUCGGGUUGUAAACCUCUUUUAUCAGGGAAGAUAAUGACGGUACCUGAUGAAUAAGUCACGGCUAACUACGUGCCAGCAGCCGCGGUAAUACGUAGGUGACAAGCGUUGUCCGGAUUUACUGGGCGUAAAGAGCGCGCAGGCGGUCGAUCAAGUCGAGUGUGAAAGCCCCCGGCUCAACUGGGGAGGGUCAUUCGAAACUGGUCGACUCGAAGGCAGGAGAGGGUAGUGGAAUUCCCGGUGUAGUGGUGAAAUGCGUAGAUAUCGGGAGGAACACCAGUGGCGAAGGCGACUACCUGGCCUGUUCUUGACGCUGAGGCGCGAAAGCUAGGGGAGCAAACGGGAUUAGAUACCCCCGUAGUCCCUGAGCGGGCUGGCAAGGCGCAU